Molecule: ribosomal RNA, 453 nt
Filed under: uncultured bacterium
Lineage: Bacteria
Description: bacterial SSU rRNA
Rfam family: Bacterial small subunit ribosomal RNA
Source: RNAcentral
GGCUGUCGUCAGCUCGUGUCGUGAGAUGUUGGGUUAAGUCCCGCAACGAGCGCAACCCUUGCCAUUAAUUGCCAUCAUUUAGUUGGGCACUUUAAUGGGACUGCCGGUGAUAAACCGGAGGAAGGUGGGGAUGACGUCAAGUCAUCAUGGCCCUUAUGGGCUGGGCUACACACGUGCUACAAUGGUCGGUACAGAGGGUUGCAAACCCGUGAGGGGGAGCCAAUCCCAGAAAACCGGUCGUAGUCCGGAUUGCAGUCUGCAACUCGACUGCAUGAAGUCGGAAUCGCUAGUAAUCGCGAAUCAGAAUGUCGCGGUGAAUACGUUCCCGGGCCUUGUACACACCACCCGUCACACCAUGGGAGUUGGUUGCACCAGAAGUAGGUAGCUUAACCUUCGGGGGGGCGCUUACCACGGUGUGGUCAAUGACUGGGGUGAAGUCGUAACAAGGUAACC